Molecule: ribosomal RNA, 20 nt
Filed under: Asemeia violacea
Lineage: Eukaryota; Viridiplantae; Streptophyta; Magnoliopsida; Fabales; Polygalaceae
Description: partial 26S ribosomal RNA
Source: RNAcentral
ACGCGACUCCAGGUCAGGCG